UCUAACUCCCCCUUCGCUUUUCUUAUCUGACCUCGCCUCAUUCCUAGCCACUCAACCAAAGAGAGCGGCAGAGAGACUUGGAAGGAGAACCAAAAGGAAAAGGAGACCAAAGGCGUUUUCUUCUAGAUGUUUUCAGAAAGGUGUUCACGUCAUUUCCAGAUUCCAUGAAGAGAUAAUCUCCAAGGUAUCACUCAAAUUAAGGAGACGGUACUUUUUCCCUCCCCCGCCCUUCUCCACGCACCAGUGGAAGACGAGGGAGGAGACGGCUGAGAGAAGACGAGGAAGGGGGAAAAGUGAGAGAAGCAAGAUGAGAAAGAGGUGUUGAAGGAAGAGACGAAGGCGAGCAGAGAGGAGUGUUAGGGGUGGUGGCGAGCCCCCGGCGACCGCCCUCCCGCCCGCCCGCGCUCGGGACCCAGCCGGGCGCGGCGCCCAAGUCCCGCAGCGCGCAGCCGGCCCGCGGCCCCGCGAGUAGCCCGGACGCGCGGCUCUCCGGCCGGCAGCUGCCGGCGCCCCGCGCGCUAGCGCCCGCCCGCUCCCGGCCCUGGAGCGCCGCCUUCCCCGCUCCGGACUGCUGCGGGGCAGCGCUCCCGGAUGAGCUAAGAAGAGCCAGUGAGAUUAAAGUAGACUGUGAGCCUUUGGCGGACUUCUCACAAGAACAGGAACUUGAGGAGGCAGAGUGGUGAUGAAAACCGAUCAUUUGAUCUGUCACAAUAUGUUCACUAAAUAUCGAUUGAGUGUCCACUGAUGCAUGGCACUGGAAAACCAUUCCAAAAAGAUAGAGCCAUUAACAAAAAGGGGCCUUACCUGUUCAAUACGUAUGCUAAUUAAUGGUCACAGCUGCAGCCUGGACAUCCUCCUAAAGAAUGCAGAGGGACCUGGAACCUAACCGAGCUUCAGGGAAGGUAUUUACAGUCCAUCUACCCUUUUGUCUGAUUGCCUAAUGUGUUCCAGCCACAGUGCUAGACAUUAUUAUAUCAU
Molecule: long non-coding RNA, 978 nt
Organism: Leopardus geoffroyi (Geoffroy's cat)
Lineage: Eukaryota; Metazoa; Chordata; Mammalia; Carnivora; Felidae
Exons: 4
Source: RefSeq, a predicted model, not a curated record